GGUCUCACCAGAACAGCUCGCAGAGCGCAGCGUACUUAGCUCCGUGUUCCCGAAGGUUGCUCGGGCCAUGUCUGCACCAGGCAUUACAACAUGUGGUGCCAGAAAGGAACUCUGGAUUUGUACACGAUGAUUCCAUCCUCAUCUGUGUUUCCUGACACGUUUGGACAGGAGUCUGGCAGCCCAAGGUGAAGGAACAUUGAGUGGUCACGACUCCAGCUUUGUGCCAUUGCGCCCAGCUUUCAUCAAUCACAGCUUCAGACACUGGACCAAACAAGAUGCCAGAAAAAAAUCUGAGUGAGAAUUAUUUUUGGGGCAUAUCUUUACAAUGCUUCAGGUUGUCAUUUAUCAUAUUCUAGUCUGAGUGGGGGUGAGUUUGGACUCACAUAAAAAAAUAAAACAUAAAAAAAUGUAGAGUGGAAUUAUGGACAGGCAUACCCUGAAGACACAGCAAUGGAGGGAUAUAAAUGUGCUCCACUAGCCAGAUGUUGUGGUCUCUGACAAGGAAAUGUUGUGGGUUCAAAUUUCAGCCUCCUUAGCUUCACAGCUUAGCUCUUGUUCAUCUCCCUUGUUAAAAAUUUCUCCCUUGUUAAAAGAUUCAUGUGA
Long non-coding RNA from Puma concolor (puma), 603 nucleotides. RefSeq lists it as uncharacterized. Lineage: Eukaryota; Metazoa; Chordata; Mammalia; Carnivora; Felidae. The record is from RefSeq and is a predicted model, not a curated record.